UACGGAGGGGGCUAGCGUUGUUCGGAAUUACUGGGCGGAAAGCGCACGUAGGCGGUUUGGUAAGUUGGGGGUGAAGUCCCGGGGCUCAACCCCGGAACUGCCUUCAAAACUCCCAGUCUGGAGGUCGAGAGAGGUGAGUGGAAUUCCGAGUGUAGAGGUGAAAUUCGUAGAUAUUCGGAGGAACACCAGUGGCGAAGGCGGCUCACUGGCUCGAUACUGACGCUGAGGUGCGAAAGCGUGGGGAGCAAACAGG
RNAcentral lists this ribosomal RNA (253 nucleotides) under uncultured bacterium. RNAcentral's name for it is "partial 16S ribosomal RNA". It matches the Rfam family "Bacterial small subunit ribosomal RNA", at positions 524 to 776 of the family's 1533-position model. The record is from RNAcentral.